Non-coding RNA from Schistosoma mattheei, 48 nucleotides. Lineage: Eukaryota; Metazoa; Platyhelminthes; Trematoda; Strigeidida; Schistosomatidae. The record is from Rfam.
AUUCAGCUGGCGAGUACCAAAUAGGACGAGACGCGCGUCAAACUGGAU